Pan paniscus (pygmy chimpanzee) is the source of this 1632-nucleotide long non-coding RNA. The record is from Ensembl. NCBI's taxonomy places the organism in Eukaryota, Metazoa, Chordata, Mammalia, Primates, Hominidae.
CCAUAGUGUAGAAGACAGAGGAAGAAGGAGGUGUCCACAUUCAUAAUUCACAUGAACUUUCUAAUGUCUUCUCUCACUCAUUUGACAGCUAAGGUCAAUAGGAACCACUUCAGCCCCAGACUCCUGUUUCUUAACCAGAAGAAUGGCUUCAAACAAGAGGAUAUAAUCUCAGGAGAUAAUGCAAGCCACCUAUCCGAAGAUGAGAAUGAGACUUAAGACACGCCAUUCAAGUGUGGGGAUGGAGAGAGCUGCAGGGAAACAUUGAGGCUCUCUGUCACAGUUACUCAGCUUCCUGGGCCUUUCACCCAAUCCUUGCGUGCAGCCUCUAUUUAUCAGAGCACAGACAUUAGAAAAGAAAUGAAGCUGAGUACCAUAUCUGAUUGGAACUGCAGGGGGCUUUCAAGAGACAGGAUGCAAUUACUUAACUUGGACGGCAGCCAGAGCCUCCACUCCUGUGAUCACUCUGAUUCCUUUGUAUUCCUCCAGCACCUUCUCUAGCACAGUUCAUUGCCAUCUUCCCAUUGGGGCUUAAGAAACGCUUUUGCUUUCCUAUCGGUUUUCCUUUUAAGCAAUUUCUUCUAACGGAAUAGCACCGAGCUUGUGAUAUUCCCAAUGUUGCGCAAGUCAUUUGGGGAAUUACAAGCAAAAUAUAAGGCGUGAUCUAUGGUGAUCAAGAAAUCUGGUCUGUUUGAGAGCAAUGGAAAGCAAAAGCAAGUACAAAACUGAGGGGCUACAAGCUAAUGCUAUUGCUAUGCCCAGAAAAGAAAGGGAAGCAUACACUCUCUUCUUGGCUACAGGGGACAUAGAAACUGAUUUUCUUUUGGUCAUAGCAAUACAUUGAAAAAUUAACUGGGACAGUGCAGGUGUGGUUUGAUUAUCUAUACUCUCCCCAUUGAUUUCUCAGUGUGUAGAAUUGUUCUCGCUAUCUAAAUCUACUUCUAAAGAAACAGUUUCCCUAGGAUCACUGUUUGGCCAGUGGCUUGCUCAAUGUGAUAUGCCACACAGCAGAUCUUCACUCAAAAUGAAUACGUUUUGACCUUCUAAACAAUAUGCAUUCAACUUGGUCCUGAGCAUGGUGGCAUUUCACUCUUAGAGCCUGAUGUCUACUGACGUUCCUCUCUCAUUAGGAACUGUAAUCAAUUAAAUCACAAAAAUCUCUUCUGCUCAUUUGUUAAGUGUCCUGUGCAUUUCACUUAUAUUUAUUCUUUGAAGUCAUUAGUUCAGGUUGUUAAAUGAACAUAAAGUUAAUUUAACAUUAUUGUUAAAUCUAAUAAAAAGCAAAUAAAAUGAUCAAGGAAUGGCUGUACUCAUUACUGCCCACUAUACAGCUAGUAUGGUCCUUCCCAAAAUCUACACUGGAAAGAUCAUGCUCCUUUGGACACUCUUCUUUUGAGACAGGGUCUCACUAUGUUGACUAGACUGGAGUGCAGUGGCCUAUUCACACACACAAUCAUCGCACAUGAGAGCUUUGAGCUUCUUGGCCCAAGGGAUCCUCCCACCGCAGUCUCCUGAGUAGCUGGAACUACAGAUACAUGUCAUCAUGCCCAUAAAGAUCAUGCUCCUUUGAAGAGCAUGGUAGGAAGACUACCAUUUUUAAAAAAUAUAAUAGAGGAUCUUCAUCACUAUUCAAAG